This 301-nucleotide ribosomal RNA is filed under the name uncultured bacterium. RNAcentral's name for it is "partial 16S ribosomal RNA". It matches the Rfam family "Bacterial small subunit ribosomal RNA", at positions 509 to 807 of the family's 1533-position model. The record is from RNAcentral.
CAGUCGCCGCGGUAAUACGAAGGGGGCUAGCGUUGUUCGGAAUUACUGGGCGUAAAGCGCACGUAGGCGGAUAUUUAAGUCAGGGGUGAAAUCCCAGAGCUCAACUCUGGAACUGCCUUUGAUACUGGGUAUCUUGAGUAUGGAAGAGGUGAGUGGAAUUCCGAGUGUAGAGGUGAAAUUCGUAGAUGUUCGGAGGAACACCAGUGGCGAAGGCGGCUCACUGGUCCAUUACUGACGCUGAGGUGCGAAAGCGUGGGGAGCAAACAGGAUUAGAUACCCCCGUAGUCCCUGUCUCUUAUAC